UUUGAUUCAUAAUAACUAAUCGAAUCGCAGAGACUUUUAGUCGGCGAUGAUACAUACAAAUUUCUGCCCUAUCAACUUUCGAUGGUAGUAUAGAGGACUACCAUGGUUAUAACGGGUAACGGGGAAUUAGGGUUCGAUUCCGGAGAGGGGGCCUGAGAGAUGGCCACCACUUCCAAGGAAGGCAGCAGGCGCGCAAAUUACCCAAUCCCAAUUCGGGGAGGUAGUGACAAGAAAUACCAGUACAGGGCCCAAUGGGUACUGUGAUUGGAAUGAAUACAAUUUAAAAACCUUAAUGAGGAACGAUUGGAGGGCAAGUCUGGUGCCAGCAGCCGCGGUAAUUCCAGCUCCAAUAGUGUAUAUUAAAGUUGCUGCAGUUAAAAAGCUCGUAGUUGGAUUUCGGAUAAUAAAAAUUUAAUAUCCAUCCUUAAAAUGUGAUUUAAUUUUUAUUUCCUUCCUUUUGAAUACACUCCCUAAACUCUUUUAGGGAAUUAAGUGUUUCAAAUCGUUUACUGUGAAGAAAUUAGAGUGUUCAAAGCAGGCGUAACCUAGCCUUUGAAUAUAUUAGCAUGGGAUAAUGAAAUAGGACUUUAGUCCUACUCUCGUUGGUUUCUAGGGCUGAAGUAAUGAUUAAUAGGGAUAGUUGGGGUCACUAGUAUUUAAUUGUCAGAGGUGAAAUUCUAAGAUUUAUUAAAGACUAACUACUGCGAAAGCAUUUGACAAGGAUGUUUUCAUUAAUCAAGAACGAAAGUUGGGGGAUCGAAGAUGAUCAGAUACCGUCGUAGUCUCAACCAUAAACUAAGCCGACCAAGGAUCCGGGGUUGUUAAUAUGGAUGACUCUCCGGGCACUUAUAGAGAAAUCAUAAGUAUUUGGGCUCCGGGGGGAGUAUGGUCGCAAGGCUGAAACUUAAAGGAAUUGACGGAAGGGCACCACAAGGAGUGGAACCUGCGGUUUAAUUUGACCCAACACGGGGAAACUUACCAGGUCCAGACACAGUGAGGAUUGACAGAUUGAGAGUUCUUUCUUGAUUCUGUGAGUGGUGGUGCAUGGCCGUUUCUAGUUGGUGGAGUGAUUUGUCUGGUUAAUUCCGUUAACGAACGAGACCUUAACCUAUUAAAUAGUUGUUUGAACUUGAUUUUUUAAAUCAAAUGUUCAUUUAACUUCUUAGAGGGACUCUUCACUGAGAGAGUGAAUGGAAGUUUGAGGCAAAAACAGGUCUGUGAUGCCCUUAGAUGUUCGAAAA
Molecule: ribosomal RNA, 1241 nt
Filed under: metagenome
Description: SSU rRNA
Rfam family: Eukaryotic small subunit ribosomal RNA
Source: RNAcentral